GGUGCCAGCAGUUGCGGUUAGACAAAUAAUAUAAUUUAAUUAUUUUAGUAUUAAUUAUUUUAAAUAUUUAUAAAAUUUAAAUUUUGAAAAAUUAAGUGAAAUUUUUUUUUAAAAUUAUUUUUUUUUUAGUUUAAGAAGUUAUAAAAUUUAAGUUAAAAACUAGGAUUAGAUACCCUAUUAUUUUAAAUUUAAAUAAUUAACUAGACUAGUAUUAGUUUAUGGCCUUGAAAAUUAAAGAUUUUGGCGGUAUUUUAGUCUUUUCAGAGGAACCUGUUCCAUAAUUGAUAGUCCACGAAUAAAAUUACUUAUUUUAAUAAAUUUGUAUAUCGUCGUUUAGAAUAUUUUAAAAGAAUUUAAUAUUCAAAAUUUAAAAUUAUUAAAUAAAUCAGAUCAAGGUGCAGUUUAUAAAUAAGUGAAAAUGGGUUACAUUUAUUAUUAUUUUUGAAUUUAAAUUUUAAAAAUUUAAUGAAAUUGGAUUUGAAAGUAAUUUUUAUUUAUUUAUAAAAUGAUUUUAGCUCUAAAAUAUGUACAUAUCGCCCGUCGCUUUCAUAUAAAAUGAAAUAAGUCGUAACAAAGUAGGCCUACUGGAAAGUGGGCCUAGAA
RNAcentral lists this ribosomal RNA (603 nucleotides) under Propalticus sp. PRO01. RNAcentral describes it as "partial 12S ribosomal RNA". The record is from RNAcentral. Lineage: Eukaryota; Metazoa; Arthropoda; Insecta; Coleoptera; Propalticidae.